GGGAGUAUAGUUUAAGUAGGGUAUAACAUGUGUUUUGCAUACAUAAAAUAUAGGUUCGAGUCCUAUUACUUCCA
This 74-nucleotide transfer RNA is filed under the name Sheathia arcuata. RNAcentral's name for it is "tRNA-Ala". It matches the Rfam family "tRNA". Rfam says of the family: Transfer RNA (tRNA) molecules are approximately 80 nucleotides in length. Their secondary structure includes four short double-helical elements and three loops (D, anti-codon, and T loops). Further hydrogen bonds mediate the characteristic L-shaped molecular structure. tRNAs have two regions of fundamental functional importance: the anti-codon, which is responsible for specific mRNA codon recognition, and the 3' end, to which the tRNAs corresponding amino acid is attached (by aminoacyl-tRNA synthetases). tRNAs cope with the degeneracy of the genetic code in two manners: having more than one tRNA (with a specific anti-codon) for a particular amino acid; and 'wobble' base-pairing, i.e. permitting non-standard base-pairing at the 3rd anti-codon position. Lineage: Eukaryota; Rhodophyta; Florideophyceae; Batrachospermales; Batrachospermaceae. The record is from RNAcentral. RNAcentral also lists the same sequence under 1 other name.